CACUGGAGGCACAGAACACUCACAUCCUCUCCAUAUGCUGGACAGUCUUCCCAGGCAGCUCACUUGAAAAGGAUGCCAUUGGCACUUCUGCAAAGUGGUCAUCCGAAAGCUUUCACUUUGCUGGUGAGGAGCACGUCCGGAACCUUGGUGGCCAGAAGAGAGUACAACAACAUCUUUAUAGGGUUGAAAGAAAAGAAGUAUCAACCAUGAAAAUACUCUCAGGAAUGAAGACAAAAUAAGGCCUUUGCAGAUGAAAGAAAACUAAGAAUUUAUCACCGUCAGACAUGUUUAAAAAAUUCUAAGGGAAGUUUUUCAGCCUGCAGAGAAUAAUAAGAGAAGGAAGCUUGGAACCUCAGGAAUGAAAUAAAAGCAUCUUAAAUGAUACUGUCAACCCAGAAGGCUAAACUCGUUUGGAGGAAGAAGACAGUGCAUAGGAUUCAACAGAAUUAGAAGGUGAAUGGAUAAAUAAACUGUGGUUCAUCCAGACAAUGGAAUAUUAUUCAGCACUGAAAAGAAAUGAGCUAUCACGCCAUGAAAAGACAUGGAAGAACCUUAAAUUCAUAUUACUAAGUGAAAGAAGCCAAUCUGAAAAGCAUACAUACUGUAUGAUUCCAACUAUGUGACAUUCUGGAAAAGGUAAAACCAUGGAUUUGGUAAAAAGAUUAGUGUUGACAGGAGUUAAGUGGGGAGGGGAGGGAUGAAUGGGUGGAGCACAGAGGAUUUUUAGGGCAAUGGAAAGACUCUGUAUGAUAUUGUAAUGAUGGAUGCAUACAUCAUUCUACAUUUAUCUAAACUCACAGAAUGUAGACCAAGAGUGAACUCUACUAUAAGCUAUGGACUCUGGGUGAUUAUGACACGUCACUGUAGGGUCACCAAUUGUUACAAACAUGCCACUGUGGUGGGGGAGGUUGAUAGUGAGAGAGGCUGUCCAUGUGAGGGGGUAGGGGGUAUACGGGAAAUCUCUGUACCUUCUCCUCAAUUUUGAUGUGAACCUGAAACUGUGCUA
This 1006-nucleotide long non-coding RNA is filed under the name Equus caballus (horse). RNAcentral's name for it is "lncRNA (ENSECAG00000045910.1)". The record is from RNAcentral. Lineage: Eukaryota; Metazoa; Chordata; Mammalia; Perissodactyla; Equidae.